CUCCCUGCUUCUUGAUCUUCAGACCCUUGGCUUCUUGACUCCCAGCUCUCUGACCCUCGGACUCUUGGCUUUCUGGCUCCUGGCUUCUGGUCUCCCGCUCCUGCUCCCACCCCACCAUCUUGCCCCCGGUCCUGACGUCUCCAGCCAGGACUUCGAUCACCCAUGAACCAGACCGUGACACGUGGGGAGCAAGAUAGACAUGAACACAAGAGCCCACCUACAACUCCCAGCCACUGACAUUCAGAGGCAUAUCACUUCUGACAGUGGAGGACUUUUUUAGGGGGGGUGCUUAAACCCAAACAGAUGUGGAAAUGUGAACUGAAUUUAAUAGUGGAAAAAACGAAAAAUGGAGAGGAAUCGAGAUUGAGAGAUUUACCCUUCCCAAGAUCAGAUUGCAGUUAUCAUGUCAUGUCUUGAAUCUUAACCACCCUCUUGAAGAUUGGUGAUGGCCUACCAAACCACUGGCAGAAAUCUCACCCAACCACUUCAUUAUGGGCAGUCUAUGUGAAUAUUGUAAUUUAGAGUUGGGGAAAACAUGAUCCACUGUGACAGCAGAAGGUCUGAAAGUUGGCCCUAUGAUUCUUUGGACUGUGCCUGUCGCCACUUCUUUGAUACUUCACAGUGAAGUCAGCCUCGCAUGCUAUUCUCAGCGGUAGAAAAUGAUUCUUAUCCUUGUCAUGAAAAGUCCAAGAGCGAUUCUGUUCGAACAACACAACACACCUCCACAAAACUCCAGAGCUGCUUCUGCAAAAUGCACAAGGCUGCCAAUACACAACUGGACCCUAUGAUGCCUUUGAAGUCAUCUGCCCAACAGCUCGGGUGCUUUAAGAGAGGAAACUGAAGGCAUUUUUGGUGUUGCAUCGCUUGCCAUUAUUGCUAUGCAUGAACUGCCCAUCAGGCCAGAGUGGCAUCAGCGUAAUUUGGUACUUUGUAAUAGAGCGCAAUAGGAGAGGAAAGGCUUCCAUUGGAAAAGUGUGGGCCAUCACACAAGAAGCUAUUUAGAGUUCAGUGUGUGAAAAAUUUAUAAGAGGUGAUUCACACAACACUUCAAUAUUGCUACGUCAAGCCGUGGUCUAUGAAUCACUCUUUUAGCAGCGUAUUUCCUCUAGAGAGCCAUUUGAGAAAUGCCAGGGUGAGAUGCUUUUCAGAAGUGCAGAGCUCUGAGUGAGUAAUCUAUAUUUCAAUUCAAGCACAACUCUGUGUUUUUGUACAUUCCACAUCUCCCAACAAAAUGCUAUCGCACCCUGAGAACCCAUUACAGUUUUCAUUUCAAUAUAUACCAUUAAGCGCAAGGAGUUUAGCCAUUGCAAUUAUGACAAAAUAAAUAUCAAACAGAAUGCCUGGAAACAUCAGGUCUGAUGUUGAUGGCAAACUAUAGCCAUAGAAAGGUGUCUGAAAUAGACCAGAGACUUGGGUGACAGGGAGGACAAAUUUAUAUGCUAUUUUUAAUAUAACUGCGCAAGCGCAAAGCUUCAGAAAAGGUACACUGCCUCUUUGAAAAUUAGUGUAGGAACUACAGGUAGUUCACAUUAUUUUUAAAAUUGUAUAUUAAAGUUGAUGUACAAAAUCCACCAGCCUGCAUUAUGAAAGGCUGCUGAUAAUGUUCUGAGCAAAUACUAUAUUACUGUGCACUUUGGUUUUGUAGAUCUACUCUUAGAUUGUAUUUGUUUUGCUCCACAAAAGGUGCCUGUGUAUAUAGUUCAUUUGUAUCACUUUCUGCAGAGUCCCUGACAUAUAUAUAUAUUUAUGUUUAUUAUAAGAAUAAAUGCUGUGUACAAUAUGAAAUACAGAGGUUUUGCUACAGUCACUGAACCCUAUAAUGCCAUUAGGAAAAUAAAGGCUUGUUUUUUAAAAGAAGGGGAAAAAAUCCUUAUUUAUAUUGUGUAUGAGUUAUCGCCUAAUGAAUUGUGAUGCAGUAUUCCUUGUCUAUGCCUCUUCCGCGACAAUGUUUACUCUUCGCUAUGAUUAAUUAGCAGGUAAUAAAGUCUAUUUUGUGUUUUGAA
Podarcis muralis (Common wall lizard) is the source of this 2003-nucleotide long non-coding RNA. RefSeq lists it as uncharacterized. Lineage: Eukaryota; Metazoa; Chordata; Lepidosauria; Squamata; Lacertidae. The record is from RefSeq and is a predicted model, not a curated record.